CUCACGCACACCUUCAAACAGAUCGGGAGGCUAGUCUCGUAUGCCACCGAGGUGACGGCCUUUGUCGAAGACCGCAAGAUGAAGCGCAUCACGGGGGUUAAGAGCACGGAGCUCCUCAUCUGGGUCACCGUCAGUGACAUGUACAUCGACAAGAACGACCACUCAAAGAUCAGUUUCAAGACGCCCACCGGACUGCGAAGGACCUUCCCUGUCUCCGCCUACGGAAAGGAGGACGACAACAAGCACGACGUGGCCAAAUAA
This 261-nucleotide ribosomal RNA is filed under the name Triticum aestivum (bread wheat). Its description in RNAcentral is "partial small subunit ribosomal RNA". Lineage: Eukaryota; Viridiplantae; Streptophyta; Magnoliopsida; Poales; Poaceae. The record is from RNAcentral.